This is a non-coding RNA of Pan troglodytes (chimpanzee), 148 nucleotides long. It matches the Rfam family "Metazoan signal recognition particle RNA". From Rfam's summary of the family: The signal recognition particle (SRP) is a universally conserved ribonucleoprotein. It is involved in the co-translational targeting of proteins to membranes. The record is from Rfam. NCBI's taxonomy places the organism in Eukaryota, Metazoa, Chordata, Mammalia, Primates, Hominidae.
GCUGGGCGUGGUGGCGCAUGCCUGGAAUCCCAGCUACUCGGGAGGCUGAGGCAGGGGAAUCGCUUGAACCCAGGAGGCGGAGGAUGCAGUGAGCUGAGAUCAGGUCAGUGCGCUCCAGCCUGGGUGAUAGAGCGAGACUCCGUCUCAA